CCUACGGGGGGCAGCAGUAAGGAAUAUUGGUCAAUGGGCGGGAGCCUGAACCAGCCAUGCCGCGUGCAGGAAGACGGCCUUAUGGGUUGUAAACUGCUUUUAUCGGGGAAUAAAACUUUCUACGCGUAGAGAGCUGAAGGUACCCGAAGAAUAAGCAUCGGCUAACUCCGUGCCAGCAGCCGCGGUAAUACGGAGGAUGCAAGCGUUAUCCGGAUUCAUUGGGGCUAAAGGGUGCUGGUACGGAUUUGGUGAAAUUCUAGUGCUUAACAUUAGACCUGCCAUGGAUACUGUCAGUCUAGAGUAUAGUUGGAGUGGGCGGAAUGUGUCAUGUAGCGGUGAAAUGCUUAGAUAUGACACAGAACACCGAUCGCGAAGGCAGCUCACUAAGCUAAAACUGACGCUCAUGCACGAAAGCGUGGGGAUCAAACAGGAUUAGAUACCCGGGUAGUC
This 450-nucleotide ribosomal RNA is filed under the name uncultured bacterium. Its description in RNAcentral is "partial 16S ribosomal RNA". It matches the Rfam family "Bacterial small subunit ribosomal RNA", at positions 338 to 795 of the family's 1533-position model. The record is from RNAcentral.